GGUAGACGGGGGUGAGAGGCCUGGGUAAUACGGGGGUGGUAAGCGUAAAUCGGAAUUACGGGGCGUAAAGCGAGCGUAGGUGGAUUGAUAAGUCAGAUGUGAAAGCCCCGGGCUUAACCGGGGAACUGCAUCUGAUACUGUUAAGCUAGAGUAGGUGAGAGGGAAGUAGAAUUCCAGGUGUAGCGGUGAAAUGCGUAGAGAUCUGGAGGAAUACCGAUGGCGAAGGCAGCUUCCUGGCAUCAUACUGACACUGAGGCUCGAAAGCGUGGGUAGCAAACAGGAUUAGAUACCCCUGUAGUC
Molecule: ribosomal RNA, 300 nt
Filed under: uncultured Desulfurococcus sp.
Lineage: Archaea; Thermoproteati; Thermoproteota; Thermoprotei; Desulfurococcales; Desulfurococcaceae
Description: bacterial SSU rRNA
Rfam family: Bacterial small subunit ribosomal RNA
Source: RNAcentral